This is a long non-coding RNA of Meriones unguiculatus (Mongolian gerbil), 2280 nucleotides long. RefSeq lists it as uncharacterized. Lineage: Eukaryota; Metazoa; Chordata; Mammalia; Rodentia; Muridae. The record is from RefSeq and is a predicted model, not a curated record. The transcript has 7 exons.
GUCCAGUACUGCCGCAGCCCAAAGAGGAAGUAGUCCAGCAGUGCCCAAACCAGAUUAUUUUCCUGAGAACCUCCGCGCUUACCUGUUGCUUUAAGGAGUUGGCCACACAAGGAUCCCGCAGAGUGAGACAGACAACCCACGUAAUCUCAGAGUCUACAAAUGGAAGCCAGAUCAAUAGGUAGAACUCUUGGCUACUCCAGCACCGUGUCUGCCUGCACAUCACCAGGUUUCUCAUGAUGAUGAUAAUGGACUAAACCUCAAAACUGUAUCCUAAGUCACAGCCAUACAAAAGCAACUAUGAGGACCACAGGUGCCAGAAGACUCAUCCAGAAGGAGUUACAGACAGAGCUGCCACAUGGGUGCUGGGAACUGGACCUGGGUCCUCUGCAUGAGGAGAUAGUGCUCUUAACCACUGAGCCAUCUCUCCAGCCCUCAUUUACCAGGGUAUCUGAGCCCUAGAAUCCAGGACACCCAUGGUCAGAACAUCAGUGCCUGAAUUUCCUCUGCAGACUGGUGGGUGAUGUGACCUUGGGAAAUGCCCACCCUCAUCUUCCCUCUGCCCCAAGGACAACCACUUGCUCUUGUCUUAGAACUCCAUCUGCCUCUGGAGAGCCCCAGGGAUGCUCAUGAAAUGGCUAGCUGGAGCUGCAGCUAACCCCUCUCUAAGUUGGCCUCGAAACCCCAUCAGGGCUGAGGUCCCAUCAUGCCCUGCGUGCCAUCCAGCCCUGUCUCGCUGAAUCCUGCAGGUCCCUGUGCUCUGGGGACACAUGUGCCUCUGCUUGAAGAGGUUGUGUCAUGGGCGAGCAUGUCAAGGCUGGCAGCUCCUCAUCCAACUGCGAACAGCUCUGUGAGAACAGUCUUCGAGACUACACCUGCCUAGAGAGCACUCCUUGUCGCCAGCAUUUUCUGACGGCCAUGUGCCGGUGAGCUUGUUAAAGCUUCUGAAGAGUCCUGCACCAACCCAGACUGGCUCAGACCACUCUAGUUUGCUCUUCUGUUGUGACAAAUACCUUAACCAAAAGCAGCUUGGGGUAGGAAAGGGAACCGCUUCCAGGUUACGGUUCCUCACUGAGGGAGAAGUCAGGGCAGGAACUCAAGCUGGAAGCAAAGCAGAAACAGCAGAGGGACACUGCUUCCAGGCCUGCUCCUUCUGUCCCAAGACACAUUUUGGAAAGUGUUCUCAUCAACUGCCACCUACAAAUGUCUGAUCCCACUGGAGGCAGAGCAGGCGUGGCGUGGCCAGUAUUGCCUGCCCCGGUUGCGGUGUCGCACCAAGGAUGGCAAAGUUUCUGUAGCACAGAUGGCAUCAGGAUAUCCCCUGGGAGGGCAUGCCCUAGGGACAGAUGGUACCAUUGUUGGUUAGCAAAUGACACCUUUUGAAGGUCAGGUUUGAAUGCCAGUCAGCCUAGCAGAGCUGGAGGGUUCCAGGCCAGCGAGAGACCCCACCUCAAAAAAACAGCGUUGACCUCUGCCCUUGGCGAGCCUAUACACGGAGAGAACAGAUUCAAGGGGUAGACAGACACCAAAUAGAGUGGGAAAGGGAUGCAUUAAAGUGAUGCAUCGACUAUUCCCCCACAGUUAACUCACGUCCAAGCCCCUCAGCUCAUCUGUGGAUUUAGGGGAGCCUCUCUCCCUUUUGAACCCCUCUCUGGACCUCCAGGAAGAAGCAGAGCCUAAGGACGGACGACUUCUAAGACACUGAGGGGAAAGACGACAGAAAAACCGUUGUCCCGGAGCAAAAACCUGCUUGAGAAUACCCGCAAGGCCCUGCGUCUCAGGCACGGAACUAUUAGAAUUGUCAAGUGUCUCCUGAGAUUUUAAAGCGCCUUAAAAACGGGAGAAAAGCGAAGGAAGGAGGCGCAUAGUUCGCGGGAACGAACUAGCAGGGGUUGAAUUCUGUCCCUCUGGUGCAUCCACCAUCCCUUCUUUCCCCUGGGCCCUCGCUCUUUUCUUCUCCAAAACCGACUGACAAAGCCAGUUAAGCUGCGCUUUGGAGCGGAUCAAGGUCACCUGCCUUCCCAGGCCUCAGGUCCCGGGUGGGGCGGGUGCCCCGUCCUCCAGGUCCCCGGAGGCCCGCAACACAGCCUCGCGCCUGCCAAUUAGGCCCUAAUUUGAUUUCUGCUCUAUCCCUGCGAACCCCAUUAAACCCAAUUCCGCUCAUUACUGCGACUUCCCUGCUCUCAGCGCAGUCUCCUCCCCGCCCCCCCCCCUGGCCCCGUGCGCCCCAGAUCGCCCCCAUGUUUCUUAGGAAACCGGACUGGGAACUACGCUCUCCGGGAA